Poecilia reticulata (guppy) is the source of this 296-nucleotide non-coding RNA. The record is from RefSeq and is a predicted model, not a curated record. NCBI's taxonomy places the organism in Eukaryota, Metazoa, Chordata, Actinopteri, Cyprinodontiformes, Poeciliidae.
CAGACCUGGAAGCUCUUCUUUCCCUGUUCUGUUGGUCACCGGAUCAGUGAUUGGAUUCAUCGUUCUCAUUCUCCUGCUGCUGCUGAUUUAUUUCCAAAAGCCAAAAUGUUGUGGUUCAGAGCAGCCAGUCAGUCAGGAUGAAGAUCUGCAUCAAGUUUACUCCUCUCUCCUACAUGGUGACCUUUGUGUCUAUGAAACAAUCAGAGGCCCUGAAAACUCUGGAAAAGGGAAACUUGAUGAUUCAGAGAAGAUCUGACAAAGUUGAUGCAACUUCAGAAUAAAACAUCAAAGUAGGU